AAGUAUGAUAGAAGAAAAAACCUGGACUACCCAAGCCACCACCAGUAAUGCUUGUGAAUACAUUAUCUUGGUGUGGACUCAUUAUACAGCCUAGUACCAAGCAUUCCUCCUGAACGAUUCUAAUAAUUGGAAGAGGACAGUAGGGCCCCAGAAGUGAGUCAUAUCAAAGCCAUCACUACACAGCUAACCCACCCCUUUCAUCAAGCAGAAAUGAUUCCAUAUUAGCCACAGCUUCCAUGAUCUCAUUAGCAAAGAUAUUAAAAAUCUGCUUUUCCUCUAGGAGGAAAGAUUGAAGCACUGCCACAAAUUAUUUCACCCAGAAUAUUUUGGCUUGAUUGGAUGAAUGGGGAUGGGGAAAAAUUCUUUCUCUCCAUGGCAGUUUUCCUUAAUCCUUUUGGGAGGGUACUUAUGUGAUGGAAAAUGAGAUACCUCCCGAUGUGUGUGAGUCCAGGGAAAGGCCUAAACUUAGACUUGGGACACAUUCAUUGCAAGUAAGCAGCUUGGGCAAAAGGCAAUUACGGGCUUACACAGACUAAAAGUUCACGGGUCGAUCUGGUUUAGUGCAUAAAUGAACUCAGGACUCAAAUAAUAUGAUUAGGACAUGACUUUUUUCCCUUCAAUUAGUCCUGCCUUCCUUGUCUCAAUUCCCAUAUGGCUGCAUGAUGGCAUUGGCACCACGGACCUCUCAGCCUCUCAGGGUACAGACCCUGUACACAAGAAACAAGAGUGCUAUUCACAGUAAAAUUCUCAGAGCAGACCAGGGCCAUGCGCGGUGGCUCAUGCCUGUAAUCCCAGCACUUUGGGAGGCCAAGUCUCUUUGUAGGUCUCUAAGAAUUUGCUUUAUGAAUCUGGGUGCUCCUGUAUUAGGUGUGUAUAUAUUUUGG
RNAcentral lists this long non-coding RNA (884 nucleotides) under Homo sapiens (human). RNAcentral's name for it is "non-protein coding lnc-SLC30A5-4:1". Lineage: Eukaryota; Metazoa; Chordata; Mammalia; Primates; Hominidae. The record is from RNAcentral.